Molecule: ribosomal RNA, 468 nt
Filed under: uncultured bacterium
Lineage: Bacteria
Description: partial 16S ribosomal RNA
Rfam family: Bacterial small subunit ribosomal RNA
Source: RNAcentral
GACGAACGCUGGCGGCGUGCUUAACACAUGCAAGUCGAACGGAAAGGCCCUGCUUUUGUGGGGUGCUCGAGUGGCGAACGGGUGAGUAACACGUGAGUAACCUGCCCUUGACUUUGGGAUAACUUCAGGAAACUGGGGCUAAUACCGGAUAGGAGCUCCUGCUGCAUGGUGGGGGUUGGAAAGUUUCGGCGGUUGGGGAUGGACUCGCGGCUUAUCAGCUUGUUGGUGGGGUAGUGGCUUACCAAGGCUUUGACGGGUAGCCGGCCUGAGAGGGUGACCGGGCACAUUAGGACUGAGAUACGGCCCAGACUCCUACGGGAGGCAGCAGUGGGGAAUAUUGCACAAUGGGCGGAAGCCUGAUGCAGCAAAGCCGCGUGCGGGAUGACGGCCUUCGGGUUGUAAACCGCUUUCGCCUGUGACGAAGCGUGAGUGACGGUAAUGGGUAAAGAAGCACCGGCUAACUACGUG